GACGAACGCUGGCGGCGUGCUUAACACAUGCAAGUCGAACGAGAAUCUACUGAAAGAGUUUUCGGACAAUGGAAGUAGAGGAAAGUGGCGGACGGGUGAGUAACGCGUGAGGAACCUGCCUUGAAGAGGGGGACAACAGUUGGAAACGACUGCUAAUACCGCAUGAAGCAUAGGGGUCGCAUGAUUCUUAUGCCAAAGAUUUAUCGCUUCAAGAUGGCCUCGCGUCUGAUUAGCUGGUUGGCGGGGUAACGGCCCACCAAGGCGACGAUCAGUAGCCGGACUGAGAGGUUGAACGGCCACAUUGGGACUGGGAUACGGCCCAGACUCCUACGGGAGGCAGCAGUGGGGAAUAUUGGGCAAUGGGCGCAAGCCUGACCCAGCAACGCCGCGUGAAGGAAGAAGGCUUUCGGGUUGUAAACUUCUUUUAAGAGGGAAGAGCAGAAGACGGUACCUCUAGAAUAAGCCACGGCUAACUACGUG
Molecule: ribosomal RNA, 480 nt
Filed under: uncultured bacterium
Lineage: Bacteria
Description: partial 16S ribosomal RNA
Rfam family: Bacterial small subunit ribosomal RNA
Source: RNAcentral